This 81-nucleotide transfer RNA is filed under the name Ovis aries (sheep). It matches the Rfam family "tRNA". From Rfam's summary of the family: Transfer RNA (tRNA) molecules are approximately 80 nucleotides in length. The record is from Rfam by way of RNAcentral. Lineage: Eukaryota; Metazoa; Chordata; Mammalia; Artiodactyla; Bovidae.
UCCCAGCUGGCUCAGUGAUAAAGAAUCUGCUUGCUAAGCAGGAGAUGCACAGGAGACUUGGGUUCAAUCCCUGGCUGGGUA